Molecule: ribosomal RNA, 253 nt
Filed under: uncultured bacterium
Lineage: Bacteria
Description: partial 16S ribosomal RNA
Rfam family: Bacterial small subunit ribosomal RNA
Source: RNAcentral
UACGUAGGGUGCGAGCGUUAAUCGGAAUUACUGGGCGUAAAGCGUGCGCAGGCUGUUUUGUAAGUCAGAUGUGAAAGCCCUGGGCUCAACCUGGGAAUGGCAUUUGAAACUGGCGAGCUAGAGUGUGAUAGAGGAUGGCGGAAUUCCCGGUGUAGCGGUGAAAUGCGUAGAUAUCAGGAGGAACACCGGUGGCGAAGGCGGUUCUCUGGGCAUUAACUGACGCUGAGGAGCGAAAGCAUGGGGAGCGAACAGG